GACGAACGCUGGCGGCGUGCCUAAUACAUGCAAGUAGAACGCACAGUUUAUACCGUAGCUUGCUACACCAUAGACUGUGAGUUGCGAACGGGUGAGUAACGCGUAGGUAACCUGCCUGGUAGCGGGGGAUAACUAUUGGAAACGAUAGCUAAUACCGCAUAAUAUUAAUUAUUGCAUGAUAAUUAAUUGAAAGGUGCAAUUGCACCACUACCAGAUGGACCUGCGUUGUAUUAGCUAGUAGGUGAGGUAACGGCUCACCUAGGCGACGAUACAUAGCCGACCUGAGAGGGUGAUCGGCCACACUGGGACUGAGACACGGCCCAGACUCCUACGGGAGGCAGCAGUAGGGAAUCUUCGGCAAUGGACGAAAGUCUGACCGAGCAACGCCGCGGGAGUGAAGAAGGUUUUCGGAUCGGAAAGCUCUGUUGUAAGAGAAGAACGGGUGUGAGAGUGGAAAGUUCACACUGUGACGGUAUCUUAACAGAAAGGGACGGCUAACUACGUG
Molecule: ribosomal RNA, 505 nt
Filed under: uncultured bacterium
Lineage: Bacteria
Description: partial 16S ribosomal RNA
Rfam family: Bacterial small subunit ribosomal RNA
Source: RNAcentral